RNAcentral lists this signal recognition particle RNA (100 nucleotides) under marine eukaryotic metagenome. RNAcentral's name for it is "Bacteroidales small SRP". It matches the Rfam family "Bacteroidales small SRP", at positions 8 to 103 of the family's 107-position model. From Rfam's summary of the family: The non-coding component of the signal recognition particle in Bacteroides The record is from RNAcentral.
AAGGGCAAGUCUUACACGACCAGCUCCUGGUGAACUCCCCCAGGUCAGGAAUGAAGCAAGGGUAGCCGGUCGUAGCGGUGCGAUGUAAGUAGCUUGCCCU